Molecule: ribosomal RNA, 131 nt
Filed under: Castor canadensis (American beaver)
Lineage: Eukaryota; Metazoa; Chordata; Mammalia; Rodentia; Castoridae
Source: RNAcentral
GUUUUCAGUCAUACCACCUUCAACAGGCUGGAUCUCUUCUAAUCUUUGAAGCUAAGAGGGUUAGGCCUACUUAGUACUUGGAUGGGAGACAUUAUGUAUGAUAACUUUGAGAAAUUAGGCCUUUCAAAACC